This 1373-nucleotide ribosomal RNA is filed under the name metagenome. RNAcentral's name for it is "SSU rRNA". It matches the Rfam family "Eukaryotic small subunit ribosomal RNA", at positions 3 to 1371 of the family's 1831-position model. The record is from RNAcentral.
CCUGGUUGAUCCUGCCAGUAGUCAUAUGCUUGUCUCAAAGAUUAAGCCAUGCAUGUCUAAGUACACACUUUGGUAAAGUGAAACCGCGAAUGGCUCAUUAAAUCAGCUACAAUUUAUUAGAUCGUACACUGUUACUUGGAUAACUGUGGGAAUUCUAGAGCUAAUACAUGCCGAGAGUCUCUGCUCUUCGGGGCAGAGCGCAGUUAUUAGACCAAAACCAGCCGUAUUCUUCGGGGUACGCUCUUUUGGUGACUCUGGAUAACCUUCAGCCGAUCGCAUGGCCUCGUGCCGGCGACGUAUCUUUCAAGUGUCUGCCCUAUCAACUUUCGAUGGUACGUGAUAUGCCUACCAUGGUGAUAACGGGUAACGGGGAAUCAGGGUUCGAUUCCGGAGAGGGAGCCUGAGAAAUGGCUACCACAUCCAAGGAUGGCAGCAGGCGCGCAAAUUACCCACUCCCAGCUUGGGGAGGUAGUGACGAAAAAUAACAAUGCGGGACUCUAAGAGGCCCCGUAAUUGGAAUGAGUACACCUUAAAUCGUUUAACGAGUAUCAAUUGGAGGGCAAGUCUGGUGCCAGCAGCCGCGGUAAUUCCAGCUCCAAUAGCGUAUAUUAAAGUUGCUGCAGUUAAAAAGCUCGUAGUUGGAUCUGGGGCUUGAGGUCGCUGUCUAUCGUUUCGGCGAUGACGGUGAUGCUCAGCUCUGCUUGCCGGUGACUGUUGCGGUGUUCUUCACUGAGCGCUGUAGCAGCACGGCACGUUUACUUUGAAAAAAUUAGAGUGCUCAAAGCGUGCUUGUCGCUUGAAUAAUGUUGCAUGGAAUAAUGGAAUAGGACCUCGGUUCUAUUUUGUUGGUUUUCGGAGCUUGAGGUAAUGAUUAAGAGGGACGAACGGGGGCAUUCGUAUUGCGGUGUUAGGGGUGAAAUUCUUGGAUCGCCGCAAGACGGACUACUGCGAAAGCAUUUGCCAAGAACGCUUUCAUUAAUUAAGAACGAAAGUCAGAGGUUCGAAGACGAUCAGACACCGUCCUAGUUCUGACCAUAAACGAUGCCGACCAGCGAUCCGUAGUGGUUGCUUUAUGGACCCUACGGGCAGCCUCCGGGAAACCAAAGUAUUUGGGUUCCGGGGGAAGUAUGGUUGCAAAGCUGAAACUUAAAGGAAUUGACGGAAGGGCACACCAGGAGUGGAGCCUGCGGCUUAAUUUGACCCAACUCGGGAAAACUCACCCGGUCCGGACACCGUAAGGAUUGACAGACUGAUAGCUCUUUCUUGAUUCGGUGGAUGGUGGUGCAUGGCCGUUCUUAGUUGGUGGAGUGAUUUGUCUGGUUAAUUCCGAUAACGAACGAGACUCUAGCCUGCUAAGUAGUGUUGCUAUUGAU